RNAcentral lists this long non-coding RNA (636 nucleotides) under Lonchura striata (white-rumped munia). Its description in RNAcentral is "domestica (Bengalese finch) lncRNA (ENSLSDG00000002898.1)". The record is from RNAcentral. Lineage: Eukaryota; Metazoa; Chordata; Aves; Passeriformes; Estrildidae.
UGUCGGGGUUGAGUCACGCCUUGGCAGCGGCCAGCCCUGCACAGAUUUCCUUUUUUUUUUUUUUGAAGUGCACUUUUCUUUUCCAGAUCCACAGACAAGGGACCUUUAUCAGCUUUCGACUUCAUCUCCGCCCCAGAAAAGCUGCACCCGGCCCAGUCCUGCCAGAGGAAGCUUCCAGAAGGUCUUCAUCUGGGGACUUGGAGCUUCCAGUGGCUGCACUCUCAUCCCAGCUGGAACUUUGUCCCCAGGCCUGCUUAUCUCCAGCCUGACAUUCUUUGGCUGCAGCUUCCCCCGUGGAUGUCAGCGCCCUCCUGCCUGCAGGACUGAGGGAUCCACUCCAAUCUCUCCUCUGGCAGAGGAGGAUCCCUCAUUCCCAGAGACCCCGAGGCAGGAGCGCUGAGUUUCCUGGGAAGCCGUGUGUUCCUAAGGAUCUGUCCCGGCCUGGAAUCCCCCAUGGAUUUAGGAAGCACCCAGGGUAAGCUGCUGAAAAAGCUGCUUUUCUCCAAGUUUUGAAGUUUGCUUUUCCCCCAGCCAGAGGAACGAGUCCAAACCCCUGGACGUGGAACAGGCAACAUCUCCUGUUGAAUUUUGCCGUUGCUAUGGCGAUUGAUUAAAUAAAAUAAACCCCCCCCUCCA